UCCAUUGAUGCAGGUCAGUUAUUGCCCUCCUUUACGCCCAGUUGCGUGGGACAUUGAUCCCCGUCAAUUUUCCAUUGCGCCUUCUCCUUUAACUUAGCCCUAUCGCAACAGGGCACGAGCAGGAGGCCGGUCAUGUUUUUCGAUAAUGUGGUGUUCGCCGGAGUGCUGACUGUAAGCCUCAUGGUGUUGUUCUUUGUAGGGUUUGGGAUUUUUAUCUGGAAAGACGCUAACAAGCGUAAAGAACCGUAAGUCUUUCUGGAUUACAUGGGCACGCAAGGCAUUUUGGGCGACUUCGGUCGCCCUUU
Molecule: unclassified non-coding RNA, 305 nt
Filed under: Pseudomonas palleroniana
Lineage: Bacteria; Pseudomonadati; Pseudomonadota; Gammaproteobacteria; Pseudomonadales; Pseudomonadaceae
Description: Pseudomonas sRNA P20
Rfam family: PhrS (bases 94-305)
Source: RNAcentral